UACGUAGGGGGCAAGCGUUGUCCGGAUUUAUUGGGCGUAAAGAGCGUGUAGGCGGCCAAGUAAGUCUGCUGUGAAAACUCGAGGCUUAACCUCGAGCUGUCGGCGGAAACUAUUUGGCUAGAGUCCGGAAGAGGAGAAUGGAAUUCCUGGUGUAGCGGUGAAAUGCGCAGAUAUCAGGAAGAACACCCGUGGCGAAGGCGGUUCUCUGGGACGGUACUGACGCUGAGACGCGAAAGCGUGGGGAGCGAACAGG
Molecule: ribosomal RNA, 253 nt
Filed under: uncultured bacterium
Lineage: Bacteria
Description: partial 16S ribosomal RNA
Rfam family: Bacterial small subunit ribosomal RNA
Source: RNAcentral